Sapajus apella (tufted capuchin) is the source of this 360-nucleotide long non-coding RNA. RefSeq lists it as uncharacterized. Lineage: Eukaryota; Metazoa; Chordata; Mammalia; Primates; Cebidae. The transcript is spliced from 2 exons. The record is from RefSeq and is a predicted model, not a curated record.
CUUGGACCAAGGCAAGGACUGCAGAAUCACCUUAAGAAGGACAAUAAGCCUUGCUCCAGCCACAUCCCGGAAGCUGGCUGGUCCACGCACGGCCGAAGCAUGAGGAGCUUCAUCGUGGGACUUGUUCUUCUUAAUAUUUGGACUUGUACAGUAGGAACAUUAACUAAUUUUAAAGAAUGCCCUCAGUAUGUACACCAGGUAGGACGUAAAAGUUACUGCCAUUCUUUUGUCCUGCGGUUCUUAUAAAUGUACAGGGACACAGAAGGGAACCUGUUUAUAUAAUGGUACUCAAUAUAAGGUACGUAAUCCAUGAGAUGGACAGGUGGGCUGUUAAUGUAUUCAGUCUACUCUGCUAGGGAG